UAGGAAAAAUAUGUAAGUUUAUUGCAAAAGAUAAUAUCCCAUUUAAAACAGUUUAGAAAUUUACAAAACCUUACAUUAGUACAGUCUUUAAGAAGGUGCUCUGUAGAUGAGCUGGUAUUAAGUUCCAAGUAUAGUGAGUACACAUGUUCUUAACUACAGAGAAAGCAGCUACAUAAACUCCUGCAACUUAAGCUGAUGUAUCAGUCUUUUUCCUUUCAAUUUUAUAAAAGUAACUUUUGCUAAAUUAAUAUCUCUCCAUGAAACCAGACAACCUCAAGUACAGCAUUUCUGUAGGAGAUCGUGGUAGAGGUUACAUAAUAUUUUACAAAGAAGCAAUUUUCACAUUGAGUAUAUGAGUACAGAGUUUUGGUAUACACAUACUUUUUUUUUUUUAACACAGAAAUGAUCACUUUUGUUUAGCAGGAAGGUUUUACUGAAUUGUUUCCCCCAUAACAAUUUUAAAUGUUCAGAAGAGACCGAGUGUCCAGGUUCAGGUUGGUGGCCUGAGCAAUGGUGUGUUGUGCUUUGGUAUAGAAUCAUCGCAGCCUCACUUGAUUUUUCUCUCUAGAAAGUUCAACUUGUUCUGACCGCAAUAUCAUCUAACUCAAAUGAGGGUUUAUGUGAGGCUCCAACUCAACAUAUGUGUACGACAGCAUACCCUUGUUAGUUAUCUAAAU
RNAcentral lists this long non-coding RNA (677 nucleotides) under Bos taurus (domestic cattle). RNAcentral's name for it is "long non-coding RNA NONBTAT012075". The record is from RNAcentral. Lineage: Eukaryota; Metazoa; Chordata; Mammalia; Artiodactyla; Bovidae.